Molecule: ribosomal RNA, 404 nt
Filed under: uncultured bacterium
Lineage: Bacteria
Description: bacterial SSU rRNA
Rfam family: Bacterial small subunit ribosomal RNA
Source: RNAcentral
CAAGGGAUUUUCCGCAAUGGGCGCAAGCCUGACGGAGCAACGCCGCGUGGAGGAUGACGGCUUUCGGGUUGUAAACUCCUUUUGGGGGGGACGAUGAUGACGGUACCCCCCGAACAAGCCCCGGCUAACUACGUGCCAGCAGCCGCGGUAAUACGUAGGGGGCCAGCGUUGUCCGGACUUACUGGGCGUAAAGCGCGUGCAGGCGGUGCUGUAUGUGCCGCGUGAAAGCGCCGGGCUUACCCCGGCGAGGGCGUGGCAGACAGCAGCACUUGAGCCUCGGAGAGGCCGGUGGAAUUCCGGGUGGAGCGGUGAAAUGCGUAGAGAUCCGGAGGAACACCAGAGGCGAAGGCGGCCGGCUGGCCGAGGGCUGACGCUGAGGCGCGACGGCGUGGGGAGCAAACCGG